RNAcentral lists this transfer RNA (84 nucleotides) under Candidatus Kuenenbacteria bacterium CG1_02_38_13. RNAcentral's name for it is "tRNA-Leu". It matches the Rfam family "tRNA". From Rfam's summary of the family: Transfer RNA (tRNA) molecules are approximately 80 nucleotides in length. Their secondary structure includes four short double-helical elements and three loops (D, anti-codon, and T loops). Further hydrogen bonds mediate the characteristic L-shaped molecular structure. tRNAs have two regions of fundamental functional importance: the anti-codon, which is responsible for specific mRNA codon recognition, and the 3' end, to which the tRNAs corresponding amino acid is attached (by aminoacyl-tRNA synthetases). tRNAs cope with the degeneracy of the genetic code in two manners: having more than one tRNA (with a specific anti-codon) for a particular amino acid; and 'wobble' base-pairing, i.e. permitting non-standard base-pairing at the 3rd anti-codon position. RNAcentral also lists the same sequence under 2 other names. Lineage: Bacteria; Candidatus Kueneniibacteriota. The record is from RNAcentral.
GCCGGAGUGGUGCAAUCGGUAGACACGCAGCGUUCAGAACGCUGUGGGCGCAAGCCCAUAGGAGUUCAAGUCUCCUCUCCGGCA